GGGGCAGGCAAGAUAUUGCAGAGCCAGUGUUCAGGCAGCCGGUUGCGGUGUGUGUUGCUUUUUCAGUCUGUAGAAUUUUUUGAACUACUUACCAACUGCCUCAGCGGGGCUGAAGAUGCUAUCCCGGCAAGGUUCGCCCUAAUCACUUGCUUGUAACCAGUCUGGCGCUGGAAUCAUGGCGUGAUGGGUGCUUUCUUCACGAUCUUCCAGGUUCAAGAGCAUGCAUAGCCUGGGUGUCAGAGGUGUUGUUUGGAAGCUUACAUCCCUAAAGGUGGGGCUUCCAAUAGCAAAGUGGAGAUGGAUUGGGAGAGUUCAGGAUCCUGCUCUGGAACGUCAGUCGACUCACUAGUACAAAAGGCUGAAGGUAUUACCAGGUCAGUAAGAUCACUGGCUCAUUGAUAAAUGCUUACUGGAUCCCAUUAUAUUGAUCUGAAAGCCCAAUAUCAGUUUACAGACACAUCAAGAAAACCAUUCACAGUCAGAAAUAUGUUCCCCAGAAUACCCUUGGGUGCAGUUCAAAGAGGAUUGGGUUCCUCCAGAACCAGUCCCGAUUCCUCCAGGGAGACAGCAACCUGAUCCAUAAAAAGAAGUAAAUGCUUAAAUGAUGUGUUUUUAGGCAUUAAGCAGCAGAGAUAUUGAGAGCAUCUUGGUAAUUAGGGCUUAGGUGGAUUCUUAAGGAAACGAAUUUAUCACCAGGCAUCAAUUAAGCCCUGACUUUGUUCAAACAUCUCCAGAAACGCUGCAGGUAUGAGACCGAGUCCUCAGGGAGUAGAGAUCCACCAGGGGAUCAGAUAUGAGCCAGUGUGUGUCUCCCAAGAAGAUGAGGCCCACCAGCAAGGCCACAUCAGCCUCAGUGCCAAAACAGCACAGCCUCCCAGCUGUGACUGCCCAUGAACCAACAGUCCUACACCAGGGUUGCUCUCAUGGACUAUGUGCGGGAAUGUAUCUGCUCUGUGUCAACUUACACUAAGGCCUCACGCACGACACCCAGAAAGUAACCAAGGCAGAGGCACUGCUGCAGCUCAUCACCCACACAAUUAAGGGCCUGGAUCCCAGGACACUGCUGGGUAAGAGAAGACACUAGCUCUUGGGAGCACCUUUGAACCUCUAUGGGACUUUUACCUGAGAAGCACUGACGGCACUGUAUCCAGACCCCUUCGGACCCUUCCUCCCAUUGGACACAUCUGAAAUCAGAAGUUGGGGCUGGGGAAAAGAAAGGGAUGCCGGGAAAGGCCACCUCUGGCCAGGGAAAGAGGAUGGGCCCUACUGUUCAGCAGGAAAUGCAGGAUGAAAGUGCGCAGAUCAUUUACCAGAAACGUGGGUUGGGCCGAUGAUAGUGAAUUAUCUCAUAAGAUCACCUCCAUCUCCAAGAUACCCAUGGUUUCAUGGUAUUAACUUCUCACUAACCACACGUUAUACACUGCUACAUGAGAGAGAGGUUCAGAGACAGAACUCUUGGUUCCUUCUCUGGUAACUUGGAAUGUGGAGACAUGACAGGUUCCUGAUAACGACCCAAGCCAUUUCCACGUUGCGCACAAUGGGAUAACAAGCCAAGUGGAGAAUGGGAUGUUCUCUUCAACUGCCAGGAUUAGUGUUUCAAGCCAAUUGUACCAGAGCAGGAAGCUUUAGCCAUUUCCCAAAACACCCUCUGUUGGAGGACAAGCAACCCCUUGCUUCUACCGCAUGUGUUCCCAAACCUGCAGAGUAUUGAGGACAGUGCCUUCAGG
Molecule: non-coding RNA, 1727 nt
Organism: Ictidomys tridecemlineatus (thirteen-lined ground squirrel)
Lineage: Eukaryota; Metazoa; Chordata; Mammalia; Rodentia; Sciuridae
Source: RefSeq, a predicted model, not a curated record